Molecule: long non-coding RNA, 125 nt
Organism: Limulus polyphemus (Atlantic horseshoe crab)
Lineage: Eukaryota; Metazoa; Arthropoda; Merostomata; Xiphosura; Limulidae
Exons: 3
Source: RefSeq, a predicted model, not a curated record
GUCAUUUUAAAAGUGAAUGUUGAGCUUUGCCUGCGUGCGCAGCUUUUCAAACGGGAGACAGAUGAAUGCUCGGACAGACAACACGGUUAGCAAUAUAUAUAAGAUUGCACCUUAUAUAAAAUGUU